GUGCCAGCCGCCGCGGUAAUACGUAGGUGGCGAGCGUUGUCCGGAAUUAUUGGGCGUAAAGAGCAUGUAGGCGGCUUUUUAAGUCGGUCGUGAAAAUGCGGGGCUUAACCCCGUAUUGCGGUCGAAACUGGAGGGCUUGAGUGCAGGAGAGGAAAGGGGAAUUCCCAGUGUAGCGGUGAAAUGCGUAGAUAUUGGGAGGAACACCAGUGGCGAAGGCGCCUUUCUGGACUGUGUCUGACGCUGAGAUGCGAAAGCCAGGGUAGCAAACGGGAUUAGAUACCCCGGUAGUCCUGGCCGUAAACGAUGGGUACUAGGUGUGGGAGGUAUCGACCCCUUCCGUGCCGGAGUUAACGCAAUAAGUACCCCGCCUGGGGAGUACGGCCGCAAGGUUGAAACUCAAAUGAAUUGACGG
Molecule: ribosomal RNA, 412 nt
Filed under: uncultured bacterium
Lineage: Bacteria
Description: bacterial SSU rRNA
Rfam family: Bacterial small subunit ribosomal RNA
Source: RNAcentral